This 31-nucleotide non-coding RNA is filed under the name Homo sapiens (human). Lineage: Eukaryota; Metazoa; Chordata; Mammalia; Primates; Hominidae. The record is from RNAcentral.
AGGUUUGAGCAGUUAGGGUUCUCAGAAGGGC